This 467-nucleotide ribosomal RNA is filed under the name uncultured bacterium. RNAcentral describes it as "partial 16S ribosomal RNA". It matches the Rfam family "Bacterial small subunit ribosomal RNA", at positions 28 to 506 of the family's 1533-position model. The record is from RNAcentral.
GACGAACGCUGGCGGCGUGCUUAACACAUGCAAGUCGAACGGAAAGGCCCUGCUUUUGUGGGGUGCUCGAGUGGCGAACGGGUGAGUAACACGUGAGUAACCUGCCCUUGACUUUGGGAUAACUUCAGGAAACUGGGGCUAAUACCGGAUAGGAGCUCCUGCUGCAUGGUGGGGGUUGGAAAGUUUCGGCGGUUGGGGAUGGACUCGCGGCUUAUCAGCUUGUUGGUGGGGUAGUGGCUUACCAAGGCUUUGACGGGUAGCCGGCCUGGGAGGGGGACCGGCAACAGUGGGACAGGAGUACGGCCCAGACGCCAUCGGGAGGAAGGGGUGGAAAAGUGUGCGCAAGGGGCGGAGGGCUAAAGGGGCAACGCCGGGUGGGGAAAAACGGCCUUCGGGUUGAAAACCGCUUUCCCGUGUAACGGGGCAUGAGGAGGGGUAAUGAUAAGAAAACCACCGGUAAACUACGU